GCGCGGUUAGCUCAGUGGUAGAGCACUACCUUGACACGGUAGGGGUCGCAGGUUCGAACCCUGCAUCGCGCACCA
RNAcentral lists this transfer RNA (75 nucleotides) under Verrucomicrobiota bacterium. Its description in RNAcentral is "Verrucomicrobia bacterium (activated sludge metagenome) tRNA-Val". It matches the Rfam family "tRNA". Rfam says of the family: Transfer RNA (tRNA) molecules are approximately 80 nucleotides in length. Their secondary structure includes four short double-helical elements and three loops (D, anti-codon, and T loops). The record is from RNAcentral. RNAcentral also lists the same sequence under 4 other names. Lineage: Bacteria; Pseudomonadati; Verrucomicrobiota.